This 256-nucleotide ribosomal RNA is filed under the name uncultured bacterium. Its description in RNAcentral is "partial 16S ribosomal RNA". It matches the Rfam family "Bacterial small subunit ribosomal RNA", at positions 524 to 776 of the family's 1533-position model. The record is from RNAcentral.
CACGUAGGGUGCGAGCGUUGUCCGGAAUUAUUGGGCGUAAAGAGCUCGUAGGCGGUGUGUCACGUCGGCCGUGAAAACCUGCAGCUUAACUGUGGGCGUGCGGUCGAUACGGGCAUCACUGGAGUUCGGCAGGGGAGACUGGAAUUCCUGGUGUAGCGGUGAAAUGCGCAGAUAUCAGGAGGAACACCGGUGGCGAAGGCGGGUCUCUGGGCCGAUACUGACGCUGGAGGAGCGGAAAGCGUGGGGAGCAAACAGG